AUUGAACGCUGGCGCCAUGCCUUACACAUGCAAGUCGAACGGCAGCACGGGUGCUUGCACCUGGUGGCGAGUGGCGAACGGGUGAGUAAUACAUCGGAACAUGUCCUGUAGUGGGGGAUAGCCCGGCGAAAGCCGGAUUAAUACCGCAUACGAUCUACGGAUGAAAGCGGGGGACCUUCGGGCCUCGCGCUAUAGGGUUGGCCGAUGGCUGAUUAGCUAGUUGGUGGGGUAAAGGCCUACCAAGGCGACGAUCAGUAGCUGGCCUGAGAGGACGACCAGUCACACUGGGACUGAGACACGGCCCAGACUCCUACGGGAGGCAGCAGUGGGGAAUUUUGGACAAUGGGCGAAAGCCUGAUCCAGCAAUGCCGCGUGUGUGAAGAAGGCCUUCGGGUUGUAAAGCACUUUUGUCCGGAAAGAAAUCCUUGGCCCUAAUACGGUCGGGGGAUGACGGUACCGGAAGAAUAAGCACCGGCUAACUACGUG
Molecule: ribosomal RNA, 486 nt
Filed under: uncultured bacterium
Lineage: Bacteria
Description: partial 16S ribosomal RNA
Rfam family: Bacterial small subunit ribosomal RNA
Source: RNAcentral